GACGAACGCUGGCGGCGUGCUUAACACAUGCAAGUCGUACGGUAAGGCCCUUUCGGGGGUACACGAGUGGCGAACGGGUGCGUAACACGUGAGUAACCUGCCCACAACUUUGGGAUAACGCUAGGAAACUGGUGCUAAUACUGGAUAUGUGCUCCUGCUGCAUGGUGGGGGUUGGAAAGCUCCGGCGGUUGUGGCUGGACUCGCGGCCUAUCAGCUUGUUGGUGGGGUAGUGGCCUACCAAGGCGGCGACGGGUAGCCGGCCUGAGAGGGUGACCGGCCACAUUGGGACUGAGAUACGGCCCAGACUCCUACGGGAGGCAGCAGUGGGGAAUAUUGCACAAUGGGCGCAAGCCUGAUGCAGCAACGCCGCGGGCGGGAUGACGGCCUUCGGGUUGUAAACCGCUUUCAGCAGGGACGAAGCUUUUUGUGACGGUACCUGCAGAAGAAGCACCGGCUAACUACGUG
RNAcentral lists this ribosomal RNA (465 nucleotides) under uncultured bacterium. RNAcentral describes it as "partial 16S ribosomal RNA". It matches the Rfam family "Bacterial small subunit ribosomal RNA", at positions 28 to 507 of the family's 1533-position model. The record is from RNAcentral.